AGACUUGGUUUCAUGUGCUUCAAGAAGAUCUUCCCUUCUUCCCAGAUUUUUUUUUCUUUAUUUUCCCAGAUUUGCAAAAUCUGAGGCAGGUUUUAUUGCAGAAGACCUAUGCUUUUUUGGGAAGCUCAUUUUAAACCUUCAUUCAAUUGGCUCAGCUGAAGUGAGAUCUUGAAUGAUUUUAGACAUUUGGGAAUGGAAGACAAGGUGAUGUGGAGACUAGAGCAUAGCUGCCUCAUUACUCUUGGUCUAGCCCAAGGUGAGAAACCAAAGAAGGAGGCUCAGGGAGAUCUGGAAAUACCAGGAUAUAGCCGAUGUAAGCAAAAUCAACUUUAAAUGCUUGCUACAAAUGUCUGGAAGUUAAUGGAAAAGGUUUUGUGACACAAAUGGCCGUCUUGGAGAAACUUGGAAAUGACUUAUGUUUACUUCAGUUUUGAUGUUGAAUGUUAUAGUCUGAGCAGUGGAGCCAGGCAGUACCCAAAUGUGUGCACACACUCACAGGGCUAAUCUUCACUGAACCGUUUUCUUUGCAAAGCAAAGGUAACUGUAAGAAACUGUGAACUGCAUAGAUUUAUUGGAAAAUGAAGACUUGGGUAAUCUGUGUAUAUAAAAUGCAUGAAUCCUGGUUGGUUUUGUGUUUCUGUACUGGAUACUGUUUUGAGUCCCUCGUUCCAAUAAGGACACCAGCUGGCAAAGAUGGCUGAGGAUUAUAAAUUACAGAAACCAUUUUAAAGAAAGCUCGAAAGAAGGAGUGAAAGAUAUGAGGAAGGAAAUUGAUUGCGCAGCCCCUCAAGGACGAGCAACUGAUUUGGAGGAAAAAGGGAAAAACACGUUCCAAAAAAUAACUGAACUGGUAGAGAAAGUGUUGGAUACUGAGAAAGUACAUAUGUGAAAGAGACCUGACCUAUGAGACCUGAGCCCAGAAAGAGGUUCAGGAAAGGGAAAUGCGUAUAGAUUUCUAAUGUCUUUGUGUGUGGGUGUGUGUGUGUGCACAUUCAUGCGUGUGUGUGUGUGUGUAUAUAUAUAUUUAUGUGAGGGUCUUGUGCUGUCUAAAAAAGAACUGUAUGUGGAAAUCUUGUCAAAAC
RNAcentral lists this long non-coding RNA (1082 nucleotides) under Apteryx rowi (Okarito brown kiwi). Its description in RNAcentral is "lncRNA (ENSARWG00000015351.1)". Lineage: Eukaryota; Metazoa; Chordata; Aves; Apterygiformes; Apterygidae. The record is from RNAcentral.